Molecule: unclassified non-coding RNA, 324 nt
Filed under: plant metagenome
Description: partial contains 5.8S ribosomal RNA, internal transcribed spacer 2, and large subunit ribosomal RNA
Rfam family: 5.8S ribosomal RNA (bases 1-106)
Source: RNAcentral
GAAAUGCGAUAAGUAAUGUGAAUUGCAGUAUUCAGUGAAUCAUCGAAUCUUUGAACGCACAUUGCGCCCGCCAGCCAUUCUGGCGGGCAUGCCUGUCCGAGCGUCAUUUCAACCAUCAAGCCCCGUGCUUGUGUUGGGGAGCUGCGGGCCCUCCGGGGCGCGCAGGCCCUGAAAUGCAGUGGCGGGCUCGCUGACACACCGAGCGUAGUAGCAUAAUUCUCGCUCUGGGCGUGCUGCGGGUACCGGCCGUGAAACGACCUCUCGAGAGAGAGGACACCCAAAGGUUGACCUCGGAUCAGGUAGGAAUACCCGCUGAACUUAAGC